RNAcentral lists this small RNA (363 nucleotides) under Arabidopsis thaliana (thale cress). RNAcentral describes it as "ATSL035020". Lineage: Eukaryota; Viridiplantae; Streptophyta; Magnoliopsida; Brassicales; Brassicaceae. The record is from RNAcentral.
UGCAUUAUAUUAUGACACAUUUUGACCAUAGAAACACUAACAAAUAUAUUUACUGCUUCAAAGCAAAUUUUUGUUGGUUUUAGCCUCUUUUGGGAGAAAAUGGGUAUAAGUGUUGUCUAAACACUCGUAACACAUCUUUAACUCUUAUAAUUAGUCAAAUGCAUUGGAUUAUGACACAUUUUGACCAUAAAACACUAACAAAACUGUUUACUGCUUGUAAGGAAUUUUUUGUUGGUUUUAGCCUCUUUUGGGAGAAAAUGGGUAUAAGUGUUGUCAAUACACCCCUAAUCCAUCUCUAACUCAUAUAAUCAGUUAAAUGUAUUGGAUUGCGAUACAUAUUGACCAUUGAAACACUAAAAAAGC